This 229-nucleotide ribosomal RNA is filed under the name uncultured bacterium. RNAcentral's name for it is "partial 16S ribosomal RNA". It matches the Rfam family "Bacterial small subunit ribosomal RNA", at positions 568 to 796 of the family's 1533-position model. The record is from RNAcentral.
UCCGUAGGUGGAUAAUUAAGUCAGAGGUGAAAUCCUGCAGCUCAACUGUAGAAUUGCCUUUGAUACUGGUUAUCUUGAGUCAUUAUGAAGUGGUUAGAAUGUGUAGUGUAGCGGUGAAAUGCAUAGAUAUUACACAGAAUACCGAUUGCGAAGGAAGAUCACUAAUAAUGUACUGACACUGAUGGACGAAAGCGUGGGGAGCGAACAGGAUUAGAUACCCUGGUAGUCA